GAGGGAAUGGCUUUGUGGUAGAGCACAUGCCUGGCAUGCACAAGGUCCUGGGUUCGAUUCCCCAGUACCUCCA
RNAcentral lists this transfer RNA (73 nucleotides) under Camelus bactrianus (Bactrian camel). It matches the Rfam family "tRNA". Rfam says of the family: Transfer RNA (tRNA) molecules are approximately 80 nucleotides in length. Their secondary structure includes four short double-helical elements and three loops (D, anti-codon, and T loops). The record is from Rfam by way of RNAcentral. Lineage: Eukaryota; Metazoa; Chordata; Mammalia; Artiodactyla; Camelidae. RNAcentral also lists the same sequence under 1 other name.